RNAcentral lists this ribosomal RNA (217 nucleotides) under Wyeomyia melanocephala. RNAcentral's name for it is "partial 16S ribosomal RNA". The record is from RNAcentral. Lineage: Eukaryota; Metazoa; Arthropoda; Insecta; Diptera; Culicidae.
GAUCUUUAUUUUUAUUUUUUAUAAUUUAACAAGAUUAAUAAGAUUUAUAAUUAUAUUAAAAAUUUUACUGGGGUGGUAUUAAAAUUUAAAAAACUUUUAAAGGUAAUAAACAUAAAUUUAUGAAUAAUUGAUCCAAUAUUAUUGAUUAAAAAAUUAAGUUACCUUAGGGAUAACAGCGUAAUGUUUUUUUAGAGUUCAUAUCGACAAAAAAGAUUGC